AAGCGUCUGUAGGUGUUUCGGAAGUCUGAGGUCAAAUGUCGGGGCUCAACCCCGUCAACGUCUUGGAAACUUCCGGAAUUGAGCAAUGGAGAGGCACCUGGAAUGCCAUAUGUAGGAGUAAAAUCCGUAGAUAUAUGGUAGAACGCCGAAAGUGAAGACAGGGUGCUAGCCAUUCGCUGACACUGAGAGACGAAAGCGUGGGGAGCAAAGGGGAUUAGAUACCCCCGUAGUCCACGCCCUAAACUAUGUGUGCUCGAUGUAGGAGAUUUUCAAUUGUCUUCUGUGUCUUAGCUAACGCGGUAAGCACACCGCCUGGGAAGUACGGUCGCAAGACUAAAACUCAAAGGAAUAGACGGGGACCCACACAAGCGGUGGAGCAUGGGGUUUAAUUCGAUAGUAAGCGAAGAACCUUACCUAGGCUUGACAUGUCAGGAAUCCCCCCGAAAGGGGGGAGUGCCGCAAGGAACCUGAACACAGGCGCUGCACGGUUGUCGUCAGCUCGUGCCUUGAGGUGUACUGUUAAGUCAGCGAACGAGCGCAACCCUCAUCCUAUGUUGCUUUCUCAUAGGAGACUGCCGCCUCCAAGGCGGAGGAAGGUGGGGACGACGUCAAAUCAGCGUGGCCCUUAUGCCUAGGGCGACACCCGUGCUACAAUGGCCGAUACAGAGGGCAGCGAACGCGCAAGCGGGAGCUAAUCCCACAAAGUCGGUCUCAGUUCGGAUUGUAGUCUGCAACUCGACUGCAUGAAGUUGGAAUCGCUAGUAACCGUGAAUCAGCCACGUCACGGUGAAUAUGUUCCUGGG
This 803-nucleotide ribosomal RNA is filed under the name uncultured bacterium. RNAcentral's name for it is "bacterial SSU rRNA". It matches the Rfam family "Bacterial small subunit ribosomal RNA", at positions 563 to 1378 of the family's 1533-position model. The record is from RNAcentral.